This is a long non-coding RNA of Podarcis raffonei (Aeolian wall lizard), 534 nucleotides long. RefSeq lists it as uncharacterized. NCBI's taxonomy places the organism in Eukaryota, Metazoa, Chordata, Lepidosauria, Squamata, Lacertidae. The record is from RefSeq and is a predicted model, not a curated record. The transcript has 2 exons.
GCCAGCCCGGGUCGCCCUCCCCGAAGGCUGCGUGCCGGAUCCUCCUCCGCCCCGCUUUCCCGCCGUUUCGCCUCCCGCUCCCCUCGCGCGCACCCCUCCUCCUCCUCCUCCUCGCACGUGGCUCUUCACGAAAUAAUUAUUUGGAAAAAAAGAACCCUGACAGGAGGAGCCCGCCUUCAAUUAUUUAUGCCGACAACAAACCCAAAACGAGAUGGGGACUCAAUCUACAGUCCUCCAGAUAUCGCUGGACUCCACCAUCCCUGACCAUUGGUCAUGCUGGCUGGGGCUGAUGGGAGUUGGGAUUCAACACAAUCCGCAUUCUUGAUUUAUACAGACUUCCUUUCAUCCGAAGUGGAUCACUUACACUUCACCAGGACCAAGACGAGUAGCGCUGACAACAUCACAAAGCAGAUGGCUACCAAGACAUAAAGGAUGAAAACGUGAAUUCUUCUGCUGUCUUUCCUUUGCGGAGACUCAGCAUUGGCAGGAGCUGUAGCAGUGAAGAUUAGCGGAAGCGUUUUAUUUGCAACAUUU